AGAUUGAACGCUUGGCGGCAUGCCUAACACAUGCAAGUCGAGGCGGCAGCGCGGGGGCAACCCUGGCGGCGAGCGGCGGACGGGUGAGUAAGGCAUCGGAAUCUGCCCUGAUGUGGGGGAUAACGUAGGGAAACUUACGCUAAUACCGCAUACGACCGAGAGGUGAAAGCGGGGGACCGAAAGGCCUCGCGCAGCAGGAUGAGCCGAUGUCCGAUUAGCUGGUUGGUGGGGUAACGGCCCACCAAGGCGACGAUCGGUAGCUGGUCUGGAGAGGAUGAUCAGCCACACUGGGACUGAGACACGGGCCCAGACCUCCUACGGGAGCAGC
This 328-nucleotide ribosomal RNA is filed under the name uncultured prokaryote. RNAcentral's name for it is "bacterial SSU rRNA". It matches the Rfam family "Bacterial small subunit ribosomal RNA", at positions 26 to 352 of the family's 1533-position model. The record is from RNAcentral.